ACUAUAUCUCAGGGGUAGAAUACUUGCACUGCAUGCAGACAGUGCAGGUCAAAUAACCUAGUAUGUACUGGUUAGGCUAGAAAAAACUUCUGUCUGAAAUCUGGAGAUCCAACAUUGUUGACAACAAUGAGCUAAAUGAAUCAGCUGCCUCCAUAUAUGGCAGUUUCCCCCAAUAUUUACCUCAGAGUAAGGCUACAGAAUUAGAGAGGUGUUUUUUUUCCAAUUAGCAUGUCAAAAUGUCCCAAUCUGGUGCUGCUUGAUGUUUUGUAACCCUCCCAGACUGUCCUCGCUGCAGCCAGAUCCCCACAGUCUUUCACAAUAAGUUAAAACCUGCCACAAUGUGAUUUUUACCUGUCAUUUUUCACAGGGUGACAGUUUCUUCUGGAUGUGCCCCCAUGUGGCAAAACUUGAGAUUUACCACAUUCCAGAGAACAUGAACAAUUUUUCUGGAUGAUUUCAAGGCCUGAUCAUUCAGAACUUUGCAUCUGUGGGUGCACUUUUGGAAUGAUUCCUAGGGGAAGCCCAUAAACAGGUUGCAGUUACAACUUAGAGUUUCUCUGGCAGCAGUUCUUCAUAGGAAGAAAAGAAGGAAAGAGGCAUAUAGCCCAGAGAAGACUAAGGAGAGGCAUGAUAGAACCCUUCUUAGAUCAGGAGGCCUGUCACAGAGAAGAUGGAGCAGGCUUACUCUAGUAGGCCAGUGGAAAUGGUUGGCAAUCAGAUUUUGGCUAAACUUUAUGAGAAAGUUAUGGCAGUGGAACAACAGCAUGCCUCAAGAGAAGCAGAGGGCACGUGGUCAUCUGUCAGGUACACGUGUAGCUGCCUCCUACAUUGUAAACAUAGGGGCCAACUCCUAGGGGCUGAGGUCCCUUUGCGCCUGCCCAAGGCAAUGUCAUUCAAAUGGUGUGGGUACAUCCUGUCAUGUGAUUGGUUUUGCAGGGUGGGGCAUAUUUUCCUUCCCCCCAAUAUUUUAUUCAAGUUGGCACCCCUGAUUGUAAGAUCUUGAACUGAACAGAGGCUUGGGUUAAAUGACCUCUCCUUCCAACCCCACAAUAGGAAGGGGGAGGGCGAGAGGGAAGAAGGAAGGAAGGAAGGAAGGAAGGAAGGAAGGAAGGAAGGAAGGAAGGAAGGAGGCUGUGGUAAUUCCACUCAAAAGUGAUAGAGGCAUCGCUGAACAUCUGUGUAGCAGUAUUGCUAUUUGGGAUACAUCCUUGUAGUGUGGAUUUAACCUCACACUGAGAGAAGCAAGUUUUGGCUGCAGAAAGAUACCACCUACGCAUAUGUAAGAAAAGGCUGGCCUUCUGUUCUGGUCAGUAUGCACAGCUACCUACCAAAUGCACAAGAUUGCACUUCUACUAGUCAUACUUAGAAUAGAAUCCAGUCAGUGAGACUGUGCUCUGUGUGACUGACUGCACAUCCACACCUUAUAUUUAACACAUACACAUAACUUUUCCCCAAAGAAUUCUGGGAACUAUAAUUUACAGAGCCCAUGGAGCCCUUUUCCUCACAAUUUACCUCGCAGCGCUACAAUUCCCAGAACCCUUAACAAAUUACAGUUCCCAGGAUUCUUUGGGGAAAGCUAUAAACAUAUUGUGUGGAUCCAACUUCAGUCUGGAUCUAACUCUACGUUUCUACUGCCAGUAUCAGUUUGAUACCAUUCUACAAUGGGUAGUCUUCCACUACUUUCUACUGAUCGCAGACUCAUUGAAACUAAUGGCAAUGAUCAACUUAGGUCUAUCAGUUUUAAUGGGUCUGCUUUGAGUAAAAUGUAGCUGGAUACCACAUUUCCUUCAGCCCUGACAUUAGAAAAUCAAAAGAGCCUGAUGGAUUAGCCGUGUCUAAAAGGUAAAGGGACCCCUGACCAUUAGGUCUAGUUGUGGCCGACUCUGGGGUUGCAGCACUCAUCUCGCUUUAUUAGCCGAGGGAGCUGGUGUACAGCUUCUGGGUCAUGUGGCCAGCAUGACUAAGCUGCUUCUGGCGAACCAGAGCAGCGCACGGAAACGCUGUUUACC
Molecule: non-coding RNA, 2009 nt
Organism: Podarcis lilfordi (Lilford's wall lizard)
Lineage: Eukaryota; Metazoa; Chordata; Lepidosauria; Squamata; Lacertidae
Source: the annotation of a GenBank genome assembly